ACACGUGGGUAACCUGCCUUAUAUGGGGGAUAGCCUUUCGAAAGGAAGAUUAAUACGCAUAAGAUUGUAGUAUCGCAUGAUAUAGCAAUUAAAGGAGCAAUUCGCUAUAAGAUGGACCCGCGUCGCAUUAGCUAGUUGGUGAGGUAAUGGCUCACCAAGGCGACGAUGCGUAGCCGACCUGAGAGGGUGAUCGGCCACAUUGGGACUGAGACACGGCCCAGACUCCUACGGGAGGCAGCAUG
Molecule: ribosomal RNA, 242 nt
Filed under: uncultured bacterium
Lineage: Bacteria
Description: partial 16S ribosomal RNA
Rfam family: Bacterial small subunit ribosomal RNA
Source: RNAcentral